This 497-nucleotide ribosomal RNA is filed under the name uncultured bacterium. RNAcentral's name for it is "partial 16S ribosomal RNA". It matches the Rfam family "Bacterial small subunit ribosomal RNA", at positions 28 to 507 of the family's 1533-position model. The record is from RNAcentral.
GAUGAACGCUGGCGGCGUGCCUAAUACAUGCAAGUCGAGCGAACGGACGAGGAGCUUGCUUUUCUGAUGUUAGCGGCGGACGGGUGAGUAACACGUGGAUAACCUACCUAUAAGACUGGGAUAACUUCGGGAAACCGGAGCUAAUACCGGAUAAUAUUUUGAACCGCAUGGUUCAAUAGUGAAAGACGGUCUUGCUGUCACUUAUAGAUGGAUCCGCGCUGCAUUAGCUAGUUGGUAAGGUAACGGCUUACCAAGGCAACGAUGCAUAGCCGACCUGAGAGGGUGAUCGGCCACACUGGAACUGAGACACGGUCCAGACUCCUACGGGAGGCAGCAGUAGGGAAUCUUCCGCAAUGGGCGAAAGCUUGACGGAGCAACGCCGCGUGAGUGAUGAAGGUCUUCGGAUCGUAAAACUCUGUUAUUAGGGAAGAACAUAUGUGUAAGUAACUGUGCACAUCUUGACGGUACCUAAUCAGAAAGCCACGGCUAACUUCGUG